GGGUUGUGAGGUUAAGCGACCAAGCGUACACGGUGGAUGCCCUGGCAGUCAGAGGCGAUGAAGGACGUGCUAAUCUGCGAAAAGCGCCGGUAAGGUGAUAUGAACCGUUAUAACCGGCGAUGUCCGAAUGGGGAAACCCAGUGUGACUCGUCACACUAUCAUUAACUGAAUCCAUAGGUUAAUGAGGCGAACCGGGGGAACUGAAACAUCUAAGUACCCCGAGGAAAAGAAAUCAACCGAGAUUCCCCCAGUAGCGGCGAGCGAACGGGGAGGAGCCCAGAGCCUGAAUCAGCAUGUGUGUUAGUGGAAGCGUCUGGAAAGGCGCGCGAUACAGGGUGACAGCCCCGUACACAAAAGCGCAUGUGCUGUGAGCUCGAUGAGUAGGGCGGGACACGUGGUAUCCUGUCUGAAUAUG
RNAcentral lists this ribosomal RNA (415 nucleotides) under Salmonella enterica subsp. arizonae. RNAcentral's name for it is "partial 23S ribosomal RNA". It matches the Rfam family "Bacterial large subunit ribosomal RNA", at positions 1 to 446 of the family's 2925-position model. Lineage: Bacteria; Pseudomonadati; Pseudomonadota; Gammaproteobacteria; Enterobacterales; Enterobacteriaceae. The record is from RNAcentral.